Molecule: long non-coding RNA, 1111 nt
Filed under: Sinocyclocheilus anshuiensis
Lineage: Eukaryota; Metazoa; Chordata; Actinopteri; Cypriniformes; Cyprinidae
Description: lncRNA (ENSSANG00000001468.1)
Source: RNAcentral
CAGUAAUGUUGGAAAAGAAUCAGUUUAAUAUCCACUGACAUAUGUAUUUUUCAAUAAUUAGGAAACAGAUGUUGCAUCAGAGGUGUGAUGUGGCACCGAAAAAAGCCAAUGUGUUCACACACGACUCGUCUUUUGACCAAACUUCAUCAAAUCCUUUAAUUCAAGAAACGAACGUCGUUACAUCAACUUCAACAGAUACAAAUGAGAGUGACAUUGAUGGAUAUGGAGAUGAGAAGGAAAGCAAUGAAGACAGAAAGCAUUCAGUUUCUCAAGAUGAGCAAAAUUCCACAGAAAUCUCAACAACAGUGCAAGAGUCAAAGGACGAUUCAAAAGAGGAGAUACAAGGAGAAAGGAACAUAAAGGUCAUCAGCAAAAAAAAGCAUGGUGAAGAGGGUUCUGAACAUUUAACAUUGGAUAAAAAACAUGCUGAACAACACAAGUUUGCAGAUGAUGAGACUGAUGUUUCUCAGAAGGGUUCGCUCACUCGGCACUAUUACAUCCCCACUCCAGGCCUAAUUAAUUCUCUGUGUGUGCCGCCAAAUGUCUUGUCAAAUUUAUGCCAGUUUAAUUAUGUUGGAACACUUCCGUUUUUGGCAUCUGAAGCAACUGGUCCUUGGUUAUCUAGAAGGUCAAAUGAAGGGGAGGGUCAAGGUUACACCACUUCAGUCUCAUCCUCACAACAAAGACUUAUUGGCAUGCCUGAUUUUCAGCAGUACAGAACAACCUCUCAGGGUGUGCUUGUCUCAGCGCAUGGAAAUGUAUUAUAUCCACAGAGUUACGUGACCACAUCUGCUGCCACCUCUUCUGCUGUAUCAUAUCAGGAUCAAGGCCCCCCUAUUUUCAAUGUUAGCUACCGGUCCAGAUGCAGACCUUACCCUGUGCCAACGUGGGUGCAUGGCCGAAAAAUGCCACAAACCUCAGUAUUUGUACCAUAUGGUGAAACUGAUACAAAUGAGCAUGCUGGUAUUACAACUCAUGGAUCAACUGAGUUUAGAUCAAAUCCUAAUGAGGGUCAAAACAUACCGUGUCGAGAUCUCUAGAGAUGUCUGUACAGGAGCAACAACAAAUUCAGCUGUAAUGAUGUGCAUUAUGGUAUAUCUAAAGUCUAUGG